This 253-nucleotide ribosomal RNA is filed under the name uncultured bacterium. RNAcentral's name for it is "partial 16S ribosomal RNA". It matches the Rfam family "Bacterial small subunit ribosomal RNA", at positions 524 to 776 of the family's 1533-position model. The record is from RNAcentral.
UACGUAGGGUGCGAGCGUUAAUCGGAAUUACUGGGCGUAAAGCGUGCGCAGGCGGUUCGUUGUGUCGGCGGUGAAAGCCCCGGGCUCAACCUGGGAACUGCAUUUGUGACUGUAGAGCUGGAGUACGGCAGAGGGGGAUGGAAUUCCGCGUGUAGCAGUGAAAUGCGUAGAUAUGCGGAGGAACACCGAUGGCGAAGGCAAUCCCCUGGGCCUGUACUGACGCUCAUGCACGAAAGCGUGGGGAGCAAACAGG